RNAcentral lists this ribosomal RNA (602 nucleotides) under Salmonella enterica subsp. enterica serovar Oranienburg. RNAcentral describes it as "partial 23S ribosomal RNA". It matches the Rfam family "Bacterial large subunit ribosomal RNA", at positions 2261 to 2857 of the family's 2925-position model. RNAcentral also lists the same sequence under 1 other name. Lineage: Bacteria; Pseudomonadati; Pseudomonadota; Gammaproteobacteria; Enterobacterales; Enterobacteriaceae. The record is from RNAcentral.
GUGGGUAGUUUGACUGGGGCGGUCUCCUCCUAAAGAGUAACGGAGGAGCACGAAGGUUGGCUAAUCCUGGUCGGACAUCAGGAGGUUAGUGCAAUGGCAUAAGCCAGCUUGACUGCGAGCGUGACGGCGCGAGCAGGUGCGAAAGCAGGUCAUAGUGAUCCGGUGGUUCUGAAUGGAAGGGCCAUCGCUCAACGGAUAAAAGGUACUCCGGGGAUAACAGGCUGAUACCGCCCAAGAGUUCAUAUCGACGGCGGUGUUUGGCACCUCGAUGUCGGCUCAUCACAUCCUGGGGCUGAAGUAGGUCCCAAGGGUAUGGCUGUUCGCCAUUUAAAGUGGUACGCGAGCUGGGUUUAGAACGUCGUGAGACAGUUCGGUCCCUAUCUGCCGUGGGCGCUGGAGAACUGAGGGGGGCUGCUCCUAGUACGAGAGGACCGGAGUGGACGCAUCACUGGUGUUCGGGUUGUCAUGCCAAUGGCACUGCCCGGUAGCUAAAUGCGGAAGAGAUAAGUGCUGAAAGCAUCUAAGCACGAAACUUGCCCCGAGAUGAGUUCUCCCUGAGACUUUAGGUCUCCUGAAGGAACGUUGAAGACGACGACGUUGAU